UUAGUAUUACCUUUCAUUCUCUUUCACAAUUUUAUUUUUAUUUUGGAGGGCAUCUAAAUCCUCCCCCCACCCCAUUUUGUUCCAUCUGUUUACAUUUUAAGAAGGUUAAUUUUAGUUGUGUUUGCUAUACCGUUGUUUAAUUGUAGUUUAUUUUUAGGGAAGAGCAAAAUGUUAAAAUCUCAGAGCAUGUCAUUUAAUUUCAUUGAACCAUCUAUUUCUGGCAUGGCGGAGUGGAUUUGAAAUCCUCGUAGUGACAUGAGCUAUGCCAUGGCUGAAUCAUGGUUUUUUAUGCACAAGAAAUAAAAAAGUAUAUAUUUACUUCAAGCAUUAAUUUGGGCAGGAAGUGUGUGAAAUGUAGUCACUUAAUCCAGUUGCAUCAAUUAUUCUUUUUAAAAAUACAUCAUGGUUACAUACCUGUAAAAGUUACAGUAACUCUUUGAAAUUUUUUCUUUAAUUAGCACUUUCUCUCUCUCUCUCACACACACACACACUCUCUCUCCCCCCACACACAAUAUUUUGGUAAUAGUUCACUAUUACCCCCCGCAAAAUCCAAACAAAACUGAAAAAAAAUCUAAUAACAUUAACUUGGUUCAAAGUGCAAUUGGCCGUUUAUUUCCUGUCAUUUUCAGUACUCUAUUCCCUUCCAAUGGACCCAGGGUGGUCCCUUUACACACAUCAGCUGGAUGAUCCUUUUCAGCCUUCUAGAUCUUGAGGGGUAGAAAGAUGACCCGCUCAUUACAUUUAGGGGGGUCACUGAUUAGGAUGGCCACCCUCCUCUUCCAUACCAUAUCCCUUCUCAGUAUAUUCACAGGAGUGGUGACCUAUCAUCCUUUAUUCUGUGACCAAAAAUUUCCAGGUUGUGAUAAUAGGGCAGGGGUGGCCAACCUGAGCCUGAGAAGGAGCCAGAAUUUACCAACGUACAGGGGGAGGAGUUGGAGCAGAGUGGUUUGGAGUUGGAGCAGAGAGCAGCUUGAAGGAGUUAAAGUAGAGGAGAAAUGCCGUGGCUGGCUAGAAGACCAAGACCCGAGAAACAACUGGAAAGUGGAGCUCGGAGAGAAGGGACACGGAGACACAGCUGUAACUGACUGUUGAGCAGAAAAGACAGUUCACAUGAAUAUACAAAACAGAGCAAAGCUGCACAGAGAGUAUCCACUGAAUACACUGAUGAUCGGUACCUUAGACUGAAGAUCCUCAGCUGGCAUAAUUCUGUGUAGCUCCUUUGGCUUCCACGGAGCAAUGCAGAUUUACACCAGAUGUGUUAAUAAAGGAGAUUCACUUCAAAAGGAGAUUCCCAGUGUGUGUUAUCAGUCAGUAUACUUAUGUCACCAUUUUCUACAAGAUUUGUCUAAAACUAUCUCAAAGAGGGAGUGUGGUCCAGUGAUUACAGCAAGGGAAUGGAGCUCUUCUCAGUCUUGCCCUCACUUGUUGUGUGACUAUGGUAUUUGCUUAGCCGAACCACACAGAACAAUGUGAUGCCAUCGCAAACAGUCCUUCUGGAAGCCAUGGAGCGGAGCAAUUCGCAGAUGCUGGCGACUGUUGUGCAUCACCUUGACAUAGUGGAGCACUGCUUCUGGGCCCGGGAAAUAAGCACUGAAUCGUGGGACCAUAUUGUUAUGCAUCUGUGGGUUGACGAGCCGUGGCUGCAGAACUUUCAAAUGUGCAAGGCCACUUUCAUGGAACUGUGCAAAGGGCUUUCCCCAGCUCUGAAGCACAGCAAUACUAAAAGGAGAGUUUCUCUGACAGUUGAGAAGUGAGUGGCAAUAGCUCUGUGGAAGCUUGCAGUGCCGGACAGCUGCUGUGGGGAAUCAGUUUGGAGUGGGUAAAUCUACCGUGGGAUCUGCUGUGAUCCAAGUUGCCAGGACAAUCAAAAGACUUCUGCUAAGAAGGGUAGUGACUCUGGGAAACACGCAGGUCAAAGUGGAUGGCUUUGCCGUGAUGGGGUUCCGUAUCUGUGGUGGGACGAUAGACGGAACUCAUAUCCCUAUCUUAGCACCAGACCACCUUGCUAAAGAGUACAUAAAUUGAAAGGGGUACUUAUCAAUGGUGUUGUAAGUACUGGUGGAUCACAGGGGCUGUUUCACCAACACCAACAUAGGAUGGUCAGGAAAAGAUGCAUGAUGCGCACAGCUUUAGGAAUCCGGUCUUUUCAGAAAUCUGCAAGCAGGAACUUUCUUUCCAGACUGCAAAAUAACCGUUGGUGAUGUUGAAAUGCCAAUCGUGAUCCUGGGACACCCAGCCUACUCCUUGCUCCCCUGGCUUAUGAAGCCAUACACAGGCAGCCUGGACAGCAGUAAGGAGCAGUUAAACCAUAGGGUGAGCAAGUGAAGAAUGGUGACGGAAUGUGCCUUUGGACAUUUAGAAGCCCACUGGCAUAGUUUGCUUAUUAGAGUACACCCCAGUGAAAGCUAUAUUCCCACUGUUGGUGCUGUGUGCUCCAUAAUAUCUGUGAAACAAAGGGAAAAAUGUGUCUGGCAGGCUGGGGGUUGGAGGCAGAUCACCUGGCAGACAAUUUUUGAGCAGUCAGACACCAGGGCAACGGGAAGGGCAGAGUGAGGCAUGCCGCAUCUUCGUGAGACUUUGAAAAGUAGUCUCAUCAAUGACCCACAGUAAUGUGACAUUUGUGUGUGUUGUUCCUUAUUGAGCUGUUCCCUUCAUUGCGUGUACUCCCCUGUAAACUCUACCCCCGCUAACCGCUGUGUGCUCAAUGAAUAAAGAGCCUUUUCUC
This is a long non-coding RNA of Caretta caretta (loggerhead turtle), 2725 nucleotides long. RefSeq lists it as uncharacterized. The record is from RefSeq and is a predicted model, not a curated record. Lineage: Eukaryota; Metazoa; Chordata; Testudines; Cheloniidae.